GGCAAGACUAGAGUCCUAGAGGGGUUUGUGGAAUUCCCGGUGUAGCGGUGAAAUGCGUAGAGAUCGGGAGGAACACCAGCGGCGAAGGCGGCAAACUGGAUAGGCACUGACACUCAACAACGAAAGCGUGGGGAGCAAACAGGGUUAGAUACCCUGGUAGUNCACGCUGUAAACGAUGGGUACUAGGCUUUGUGGGAAUAGACCCCUGCAGAGCCGGAGCUAACGCAAUAAGUACCCCGCCUGGGAAGUACGGUCGCAAGACUAAAACUCAAAGGAAUUGACGGGGGCCCGCACAAGCGGUGGAUCAUGUGGUUUAAUUCGAAGCAACGCGCAAAACCUUACCUGGGUUUGACAUCCCCGGACAAACGUAGAAAUACGUCUUUCGUAGCAAUACGACCGGGAGACAGGUGCUGCAUGGCUGUCGUCAGCUCGUGUGGUGACAUGUUGGGUUAAGUCCCGCAACGAGCGCAACCCUUGUCUUUAGUUGCCAGCAUUCAGUUGGGCACUCUAGAGAGACUGCCGUGGUUAACACGGAGGAAGGUGGGGAUGACGUCAAGUCCUCAUGGCCUUUAUAUCCAGGGCGACACACGUGAUACAAUGGAUGGCACAAAGGGAAGCGAACUCGCGAGAGGGAGCGAAUCUCAAAAAGCCAUUCUCAGUUCGGAUUGGAGUCUGCAACCCGACUCCAUGAAGCUGGAAUCGCUAGUAAUCGCGGAUCAGAACGCCGCGGUGAAUACGUUCCCGGGCCUUGUACACACCGCCCGUCACACCAUGGGAGCUGACUCAACCAGAAAACGAUCAGGCUAACCGCAAGGGGGCCUCCGUUGAAGGUGGGGUUGGUGACUGGGGUGAAGUCGUAACAAGGUAGCC
This 870-nucleotide ribosomal RNA is filed under the name uncultured bacterium. RNAcentral's name for it is "bacterial SSU rRNA". It matches the Rfam family "Bacterial small subunit ribosomal RNA", at positions 634 to 1501 of the family's 1533-position model. The record is from RNAcentral.